This 108-nucleotide microRNA precursor is filed under the name Gorilla gorilla (western gorilla). Its description in RNAcentral is "microRNA ggo-mir-320b precursor". Its record names the gene ggo-mir-320b. The stretch from base 27 to 101 matches the Rfam family "mir-320 microRNA precursor family". The record is from miRBase by way of RNAcentral. Lineage: Eukaryota; Metazoa; Chordata; Mammalia; Primates; Hominidae.
AUUUUUUGUCUUCUACCUAAGAAUUUUGUCUCUUAGGCUUUCUCUUCCCAGAUUUCCCAAAGUUGGGAGAAGCUGGGUUGAGAGGGCAAAAGGAAAAAAAAAGAAUUC